This 407-nucleotide ribosomal RNA is filed under the name uncultured bacterium. Its description in RNAcentral is "partial 16S ribosomal RNA". It matches the Rfam family "Bacterial small subunit ribosomal RNA", at positions 30 to 526 of the family's 1533-position model. The record is from RNAcentral.
AUCGAACGCUGGCGGCAGGCCUAAUACAUGCAAGUCGAGCGGAGCGGCGGAAGGGUGAGUAAUGCCUAGGAAUCUGCCCGGUAGUGGGGGACCACGUCCGGAAACGGGCGCUAAUACCGCAUACUAUCAGAUGAGCCUAGGUCGGAUUUGCUAGUUGGUGGGGUAAAGGCCUACCAAGGUGACGAUCCGUAACUGGUCUGAGAGGAUGAUCGGUCACACUGGAACUGCGACACGGUCCAGACUCCUACGGGAGGCAGCAGUGGGGAAUAUUGGACAAUGGGCGAAAGCCUGAUCCAGCCAUGCCGCGUGUGUGAAGAAGGUCUUCGGAUUGUAAAGCACUUUGAGUUGGGAAGCGUUACCCACAGAAUAAGCACCGGCUAACUUCGUGCCAGCCGCCGCGGUAAUUC